AUACGGAGGGGGUUAGCGUUGUUCGGAAUUACUGGGCGUAAAGCGUACGUAGGCGGAUUGGAAAGUAUGGGGUGAAAUCCCAGGGCUCAACCCUGGAACUGCCUCAUAAACUCCCAGUCUAGAGUUCGAGAGAGGUGAGUGGAAUUCCGAGUGUAGAGGUGAAAUUCGUAGAUAUUCGGAGGAACACCAGUGGCGAAGGCGGCUCACUGGCUCGAUACUGACGCUGAGGUACGAAAGUGUGGGGAGCAAACAGGAUUAGAAACCCUAGUAGUCC
Molecule: ribosomal RNA, 274 nt
Filed under: uncultured bacterium
Lineage: Bacteria
Description: partial 16S ribosomal RNA
Rfam family: Bacterial small subunit ribosomal RNA
Source: RNAcentral